Cyprinus carpio (common carp) is the source of this 1811-nucleotide long non-coding RNA. RefSeq lists it as uncharacterized. The record is from RefSeq and is a predicted model, not a curated record. The transcript has 7 exons. Lineage: Eukaryota; Metazoa; Chordata; Actinopteri; Cypriniformes; Cyprinidae.
GUUGUAAAUAUGGAUAUUUUUCUUGCACAAACGCAUUGUGUCACUUCAGAAGGCCUUUAACUCCCCUGAGCCGUGUGGACUUCUUUUAAAAUGGAUGGGUGCAAUUUUUUGGACUUUAAAUUUUGGCCUACCAACCACUCCCAGCAUGAAUUAGCCUGGACAUUAUUUAAUAUAACUCAGAUUAUAUUAGUCUAAAAGAAGAAUGUCAUAUACAGCUAUGAUGGCUUGAGGGUGAAUAAAUCAUGGUGUAAUUUUCAUUUUUGGUUUAACUAUCCCUUAAAGCCCUGUCCCAAAUAUCCCAUUUUGCGGUCUUUCUCCAAAUCCACUUGUGACGCUAUGCCGCUUUGACAGUAUCACUGCGAUAAUGGCAAAAGUGACGUCGUGGCCGCAAGGGCGGCGCUCGUGCAUAAUCGUGGACUUAUCAUGGCCGCCGAAUGCCUGUAUUCGCAAGUACCUAGACCUGCUACUCAUUUGACCAAUUGAGCUUUUAGCAUACCUUACAGUAGUAAACAUAUGGAUGCAAAGUCCGUUUUCACGCGCCAAAUUUAAAUAUGCGGAAGCGGCGUGAGUAAGAUUUGAUUUCUCAAGAUUUUAAGUUAACAACUUAAAAUACAGUCAGUUGCUCACACGUGUCUUUAGAAGUUUUGGAAUAGUUCAUAAAUCACAUGGAUUACUCCUAAGGACGGUGAACUUUCUGCUUCAACGCCUUCCCAAGAAGAAACUGUCUGACAGGGAGUCUGGAACCCCAUCUGUGCGAGAGGAGAGGCGUGAAAUGUUCUGUAAUUACUGAUAAUGAUGUCCUAAGAUCAGAGACUCAACCCAAACAAGGCGAAGUUUGAACCAUGACAUGGUGGAGGGCAGCACUGCCGUCAGACUGAACUCAGUGUCGGGCAGUAAUGGUGGCUCUUAGUCAAACCUGAAGUCCUGGGGUACCACAGCGCUCCCUGUGCAGAAGAAAGAAAUUCUUUGGAACAACAUGAGGGCAAAGAUGCUACGCUUGAGAAUAAAAGCCCUAGACCCUCAUUACCGUACCUCGACAUGAGUGUGUAGGACCACGCUAGCAUAAUGAGCAUCCGUGCAGAAGGCCAAAGGAGCAUUUCUGAGGCCUGUGGAGCAACAAAACAACAGACGCUACAAGCAAACACACAUACCUGCAUACAAGAGCUGCUGCUUCACCUCUCACCCUGAAGGAGAGAGAGAAAACAAGGCUGAACUCAGGAUGAGUGGGUAUCAGCCACCCGGGAUGCAGUCGUCUCCCUGCCGAAGGCUGCAGGCUGUCUGCUCCUCCAGACAGACAGCGGGCAGUGAUUGGGUGAGGAAAAUGGCUGUUUGGUGUCUGAUCCUGGCAUGAUAAGGGGUGGCAGAAGGUUUUCAGGUAUUCAACGGCAAAUGGCGCAAAGAUGGUUUAUGUCUCCGCUCUUUUAUCCAGGAGAAAAAAGAAAAGAAUAGAGGGAGGGAUGGGUAGAUUUUUGGUGUGAGGGAAGAGAGAAGCUUCAGAGCAGUCAGUACUCAGAGCUCUAUUAAAAGCAUCAGCCUCGUUAAAACCAGUCAAAAGACAGGAAAUCAUCCAGUGAAAUGAAGCCUCUCGGCCAAUUAUGGGAUCUGAGUGCUUUUUGUGUCAUCACCAGGCUCUCUCUCUCUCUGUGUCCUAUAGGUGUAGAAGUGGCACCUCACUCUUCAGAUAAUCUUUAAAGGUAUACAAUAUUUCUUUAUAAGACAUGCACAAUGGUAUCCUAUCAUUAAAAGAUUUAGUAAUUAUAUUUGCCUAAUUAGCAGGUUAACUUGUGGGGAGUCUGUAGGAGGAGUAUUCU